AAUAAAAUAUCUGAAAGAAAAAUGAAAUUUUACAUCAAUUGCCAUUGUGAUUUUAGUAUAAUUACUUGUAUAGUUCAUAAAAAUAAAUUAAUUGAUUUUAUAAUUAAUAUGUCAAUUAAUUUAAUCAUUCACAGUUGGUGCACCGGGGUUAAUAGAAUAAUUAACGGAAAAAUAACAAAUUUCGAUGUAAAUGAUGAAAUUAAGUUACAAGCAUUUAAAUAUUGUAAUACACAUAAAAAAAGGAAAUAAAAUAUACUUAGCCGAUAAAUGUACUCUUUAUCUUUUGUUUUUUUAUUAUCUCCCAUAAUAUUAUUGACUAGACUAGAAGUUGGAAACUGAAAACUGGAAACUGGAACUGGAAAUUGAAAUCACUGUUUUAAAUUCAAUUUACAGUAAAUUGAAUUUAAAACAGUGAUUUCAAUUUUCAAAUUUAAAAACAUAUUUAAGAGAACUCUUGAAAAGCGCCAUCUACCCUAACCAUACAUGAAGUAACCACGCCAUCUUGUGACGGGGGCCCGUUAACUUUCACGCUAGUAAGUUGUUUUGAACGAUGAGUUGCGUAUCUAUCUCUAUAUAGUGUAUUAUCUAUGUUAGUCAGCGCCAAGCGCUUAUCGAGGGAGGACGUAUCGCUCGCUGUUGCGCCGCGCAAACUCGCCGGAGCUCGAAAAAUAUAGCGCAACCUGCGCAACGAACUCGUUUUGAUACUAGAUAAUGAAAGCAUAUUUAAUUCAGAUUAUCAGACUCAAUCGGAUACCAGUACAAAUAAUAUGGAAAAUGAAGAUACAAUACAUGGAAGACGAAUUAUAGAUUUUAGUUUUUUUUAUAAAUCAAUUACUUAUACCUAAUUGAUAAACAUGGUGAAAAGUUUGGUUGUCGAUUAAAUAAUUUAAAAAUUGUAAA
Molecule: long non-coding RNA, 900 nt
Organism: Helicoverpa armigera (cotton bollworm)
Lineage: Eukaryota; Metazoa; Arthropoda; Insecta; Lepidoptera; Noctuidae
Exons: 3
Source: RefSeq, a predicted model, not a curated record